CAUCACUGAAUAUAGUUGAGCAUUGGGAUUCUUACUCCCCAGGCGUUUUUUAAUAGCUUUAACAACAUCUCUAGCUUGCCUCUUAUCACGGGCUACUGAUUCACAUAUUUCGAUAUUCUUAGUCCAAUCCAAUUCAGGUAGUUUAUCACUCGUUGCAGAAUUAACGAGCUCAGCUGCCAUCUGCCGCUUAAUUUCGGAAAUGAAAACGCCAAAAGAACUCUAAAUCUCACCUCCUAAACCCUAUGAGAAGGACGAGGAACAGAGAAACAAUGUGGAAGAAGCUGAGGAACACAGAAUAGCUUCAACAUUUGAAGAAGAAAAGAGAAAGAGUUGCUUUUUCUUUUCUUUAUGGUAUUUCCAGGCUGUUAUUUUGAGAAAU
RNAcentral lists this unclassified non-coding RNA (379 nucleotides) under Hevea brasiliensis (rubber tree). The record is from RNAcentral. Lineage: Eukaryota; Viridiplantae; Streptophyta; Magnoliopsida; Malpighiales; Euphorbiaceae.